UGCUCCGAGCAGCGACAGCACCUCCGUCUCGCCUCUUCAUUCGUCGGCACGAGCUCGUUCUCGUCCGCGGUCGGUUGUCCUGUGCUGCAUACCUAUCGAGAGGGCAUUCUGUCGGCUGAAACGGUCCCAUCUCCGUCCUGCGUCGCCGCUCCGUGCGGGCGGUCGAUGCGGGGUGGAUCUCAAGGCUCGCGUCGUGUCUCGCACCGCAUCCACCGAUUUUCGGUGUUUGGGCAGGCGAACCACGUCGCGUCGCCCGUCGCCUCGGGUACGGAACAUCACGUGGGUACGCGGCCUCGGCCGCCGAUCGCCACAACGAUGCGUUCUACGCUUUUUGCGAACGACGGUCGGCUC
RNAcentral lists this unclassified non-coding RNA (351 nucleotides) under Isodon polystachys. RNAcentral's name for it is "partial external transcribed spacer". Lineage: Eukaryota; Viridiplantae; Streptophyta; Magnoliopsida; Lamiales; Lamiaceae. The record is from RNAcentral.